Hypoxylon sp. FL0543 is the source of this 83-nucleotide non-coding RNA. The record is from the annotation of a GenBank genome assembly. Lineage: Eukaryota; Fungi; Ascomycota; Sordariomycetes; Xylariales; Hypoxylaceae.
GGUGGUAUAGUAUAAUGGCCAGUACAACACGUUGUGGAAACAACGGUUCCGUGUAGAUCUGGGUUCGAUUCCCAGUACCGCCA